GCCGGUUCAGAUCCCAGGUGCAGACCUAUGCACUGCUUGUCAAGCCAUGCUGUGGCAGGGGUCCCACAUAUAAGGUGGAGGAAAAUGGGCAUGGAUGUUAGCUCAGGGCCAGUGGUCUUCAGCAAAGAAGAAGAGGAUUGGCAGCAGAUGUUAGCUCAGGGCUAAUCUUCCUCAAAAGAACAAACAAACAAAGGAAGGCCAUGCUUAUUCAAAUGAUGAUAGUGUGUCCUGAACCAAGAAUUAUUAUUAAUCCAUUUCCAGGCAUCUGGGGUCCAGAAGAGACGGCAGCUCGUUUUAAAAGAUUAGUGGAACUUUAAGAAGAUGAUGACAACAGACUUGGCCUUGGAUCAUAAUCUCCCAACAGUGCUGUCAAGGAGUUCAGCUGAGGAGCACAUGUGCACGUUUCCUCAAUGGUCACUCCUGGAGCCACGCUUCAAGACUCAUCUGUUCUCACUCAGAGAGCUUUCUAAUUCAAGAGGAGCUAGGAGUGGGGGAUAACAAGUAGGAAAGCAGGUAAAGACCCAUGUCAUUCCUUCACUCAUGCAAUAAAUAAUUAUUCUGUAUCUUCUACAUGCCCGGCACUGUGCCGGAUGCUGGAGAGUAAUGGUGAGCAAAAAGGCAAGGCCCCUGCCCUCAUGCAGCUCACAGUCCUGUAGGGGAUGCAGCCAAGUGAUUGGAGAAGGAGAUUGCAGAAUGGUGUGUGCUGUAACAGGGGAGGCACCGAGGGCUGUCACGCUUCCAGCAAUCUGAACUUUAAGAAUCCAUGAACGCCUUCCUAAAUCAAAGUGUAAGAGUAAGCCAAUGUCUGCACACGAGGAUCGCCUAAGAUCUUUUUAAAAUUAUAAAGCACAGGCCACACUCCAGAUCAACUUAAAUGACAAUCUCUGUGUUUGGGACGCAGGCACUGGUAGUUUUUUAAACUCCCCAGGUGAUACCAAUAUGUCGACAGAUUUGGGAACCACUAGUCUAGAAACAGGAAGAUAAACAAAGGGGAAUUGAAACUGCUCUCUGUAUAACGGACCUCGUACCAUUUCAGGCUACUAACUCAGAUGUGCAAAAAAAGAAAGUCUUUAGUUUUCUGUAGAUGACUGUAAUAUCUUUUUUAAGCCCCCAAUUCCACAAAGUGGCUAAAGUUUCUGUCAGUCGAUCCAUGGUUCCUCUCACUCUUCCCUCUGCUCUUUCUUCGUUGGAGCUGUGAGUAGGGAGUUAUAAAGUACCAGAGGAGGAGAGAGGGGUAGCAGGGAUGAGCAUCCAUUGAAUCCCCAGCUAAUAUCCAACCAUGUUGGCUCCAUUAGUCCCCUCAACACAUGGCCUCUCCAGUGUCACUUUCUGAAGUCCCUGGCACAAGCUGCCACAUCCCAUCCCCAGGGGCUUUCAGGUCCCCAGGCUGGCUGCUCACAGCCUCACUGCUCCUGGUCACGAUAGCAGACAUUCUGCUCUGCCCCAUGUCACCCUGAAGUUCAACGGGCAGGGGUAGCCUUUAAAACAGGGAAUUAUUGAGAAUGAAAAAUACUUUAGUAAUAUAUCAAGGGGCCAGCUCGGUGGCACAGCGGUUAAGUGCACAUGUUCCGAUUCGAGGCCCGGAGUUCACUGGUUCGGAUCCCGGGUGCUGACAUGGCACAGCUUGACAAGCCAUGCUGUGGUAGGCAUCCCACAUAUAAAGUAGAGGAAGAUGGGCACGGAUGUUAGCUCGGGCCAGUCUUCCUCAGCAAAAAGAGGAGGAUUGGCAGCAGAUGUUAGUUCAGGGCUAAUC
Molecule: long non-coding RNA, 1753 nt
Organism: Equus asinus (donkey)
Lineage: Eukaryota; Metazoa; Chordata; Mammalia; Perissodactyla; Equidae
Source: Ensembl